AGAGGCCAAGAGAGUGGAGCCAGGAGCUGGUGGCGCAGGCAGAUGGAACAACAGAGACAGAGAACAGAGCCAGAGGAGUGGGCACGCAGCGAGGCCUGGCAGCCAAGCCCUGUGGGUUUCCGUGGGAAGCAGAUGCUUCCAGGGAGCAGCAACUGAUGGUCCUCAAGCACGUGGAUCCUUGUUGACUCCAGGCCCAGGGCAGCCUCCUUGGCAGCCAGCCUUAGCCCGGAGGAGCAACGCCUGUCCAGAGAGGCAGAUGAACAACAGCCCUGCCACUGUAGGGCUCCAAUGCUUCUCCUCUGUCCUCCUCCAGGCUCCACCAACCCCUGUGAGUCCCAGGAAGCCAUAAGCAGCCACAUCACGCUGGGGAGGAAGCGGACUGCAUUGGAGGGUUCCCUUUGAAUGGAUGGAGAUGGAGACCCUCAAAGAAGGAAGGACUCCCCAUGGCCCUAAGCAGACAAAUCACAGAACGAAGAUGACCACUCUGGGCUCCUGAUGUCCAGCACCUGUCCAUCAUUCAAGACCCUGCAGCUCCUGUGGCCUGCUGUGGGCACGGGGAAGGGACUCCGCUCAGGGACUGAGUCUCCUUACCACCCCAAGUUCCCGUGUCCCCUCAAAUGAGCCCUGAGGACAAGUGAAAGGAAUUGGGAAGAAACCCCAAGCAGUCAAUACCUCAGCAGAGGGAACCCAACAGUGCAGUUGAAACCUCACCGCUGAAUCUCUGAGGUCCAGAGAGAGGGCAGGAACAGCUGCAUCUUGAAGAAGGAAGACCUAGGACAUCAAUCACAUGAACAAACCCAAGCCAAGAACGUGGCAGCAUGGACACAGAUCACAGUAAGCACGAAGCACCAUGGAUCUGGGCUCCUGGACACUUUCCCCAAGCCCUAAAUAGUCUACUGGAUGAUGUCCCAGCACUGCAGAUAAGGCAGCAGGGCAUGAUAUUCCAGGGAUUUGGGGCUCAGCAUGUGAAGGUAGAAAUAGAUCCAACCCUGCUCAUACCACAAGCUCAGAAGCAGAAGGUGGCAGCCUUGAAUGAAGAUCUCAUUUCAGAGUUCUUAGCUUAGCACUGCCUUGGCCCAGGCAGCCUCUGGCCACCUCAGCACUGUCCCUCCCUGGCACC
Long non-coding RNA from Zalophus californianus (California sea lion), 1120 nucleotides. RefSeq lists it as uncharacterized. The record is from RefSeq and is a predicted model, not a curated record. The transcript is spliced from 3 exons. Lineage: Eukaryota; Metazoa; Chordata; Mammalia; Carnivora; Otariidae.